UUAUCCUGCCAGGCCAGACACUCUAGUGUCAGCAGUGAAUUCAGCUAGAAUUGUGUGUGUUUUUGGUUUGCAGAACACUUUUCAUCUUGUUCCAUGUUCAUAGCAAUGCUGGGAGGCAGUUGCUUGGAUUAUUCCCCCUUAACAGACGAAGAAACGAAGGCUCAGAGGUAUGACGUGACACUCUCAAGGCCACAGAGGGACAGAGAUCGAGUCAGAGACUUCCACUGAAAGGGAGCUGAAUUUUCCUCCGGCUUAACUAGAUCAUCAUUUAACGGAUUCCCCUUGUCUCCUUCCUCCCCCUUCCUCUUCUUUGAUGUAUCACCAGGAUGCCUUGAAAAGUACAACAGGAAGAGGGGUCAGACUAGCCCUCUAUGGAGGCCAA
RNAcentral lists this long non-coding RNA (382 nucleotides) under Monodelphis domestica (gray short-tailed opossum). Its description in RNAcentral is "lncRNA (ENSMODG00000038331.1)". Lineage: Eukaryota; Metazoa; Chordata; Mammalia; Didelphimorphia; Didelphidae. The record is from RNAcentral.